UACGGAAGGCAGCAGUGGGGAAUAUUGCACAAUGGGCGCAAGCCUGAUGCAGCCAUGCCGCGUGUAUGAAGAAGGCCUUCGGGUUGUAAAGUACUUUCAGUCGUGAGGAAGGUGUUAAGGUUAAUAACCUUAGCAAUUGACGUUAGCGACAGAAGAAGCACCGGCUAACUCCGUGCCAGCAGCCGCGGUAAUACGGAGGGUGCGAGCGUUAAUCGGAAUUACUGGGCGUAAAGGGCACGCAGGCGGUUAAUUAAGUUGGAUGUGAAAUCCCCGGGCUUAACCUGGGAAUGGCAUUCAAGACUGGUUAGCUAGAGUCUUGUAGAGGGGGUAGAAUUCCAUGUGUAGCGGUGAAAUGCGUAGAGAUGUGGAGGAAUACCGGUGGCGAAAGGCGGCCCCUGGACAAAAGACUGACGCUCAUGUGCGAAAGCGUGGGGAGCAAAACAGGGAUUAGAUACC
RNAcentral lists this ribosomal RNA (456 nucleotides) under uncultured bacterium. RNAcentral describes it as "bacterial SSU rRNA". It matches the Rfam family "Bacterial small subunit ribosomal RNA", at positions 340 to 786 of the family's 1533-position model. The record is from RNAcentral.